CCCCUAGCCGCCACAACCUUUCUCCCUCUCCUCCUUUCAGCCGACGCACACAGCCACUUCUCGCUGUUCACAAGCGCAUGGAGCAGCUGCGGCUCCACCUCCCUGCUCCUCUCUCCGUGGUGACGUCCAGCACCUUUCCAUGGACGCCUCCCUCCCCAAGCUCCAAGGCGCACAGGGCAGCAGCACCUUCAUUCCCCAUGGAUCCAUGGUGCUGGGAGUUUUUUCCCCAUUGCUAGAAUUUGUUGCAGCCUUCCCAUGCACAGGUUCCAGCCAUGGCCGACCUCCUUUCUUCCUCCCUAUUCCCGGCAGUAGCACGCCAGCACAGGGACAACGACUUCCAUGGCCGGCGCCCCAAGCUCCAGCCCCUCCCUGCGAGCUCCCUCCUCCCGCUGCUCGGUACCCUGAGCUCCUGCUCUUCUCCCAUGGAGGGCGUCCAGAAAUUUUUCCAGCGCCUUCACUAUUCAUCUUCCUCCCAGCAGGCCCAGCUUGCUGUUCCCCUGCUCCAUGGCACCCCUGCAAUAUUCCCCUUCCUCCCCCUCGGCUCCCCCAUCCGGGCACCCAAGCAGCGCCUUUCCUUGCCCCUCUCUGUCCCCAGCGACAAGCAGCGGCACUCCCUCCCAAGGACAGCGCCCCUAUUUCCCUCUCUCGGCAGCGCAGCUCCUCGCAACCGAGCUUCCCCCGCAGCCCCUCAACAUCGACGUGUCAUAGGUGUUCGACGGAAUGCUCGUGGGAAAUAUUAUGUUGUACGCAGCAGCCCCGACGUCUUCGCGCGCUGUCGGCUCGCUGUUGCGUGAAGCCCAGUGGACAGCACGUCGUCGACGUUCACCGGUGGGUUGCUGUUUUUGCGCAGCCCCAAUGUCAUCGUCGUUCACCCCCGGAGGGGCACCCCGUGUUUUGCGAGGAGAAGGCAAGCCGCUCAACACUCGUCGGAUGUUCGGAGCGAUGCACAAAUCGGAAUCGUCAUCGUCCUUACAAACACCGAUUGGGUUUGUUUAUGGACCGAGAGAUGAUGAUCGUGCAAGUGAAGUGGUGCCAACCACAAGAAGCAGUUGGUGGACGACCUGAACAAUGAUGGACUUAACCAGUGGAUGCUCGCCAAGCGAGUACCUCCCCAAGCAAACACUAUCUAAGUGUUAAACUAAAGGUUCUCUGGAGGACAUGGUUGCUGGAGUGACUUGGCCGUCCACCUUGCCACCGGGUUGGACUGUUGAGUGGGACCCCGCCUCGGCCGAGGAGGAGCAUGAGGAGUGAUGGGACAGGCUUCUCCAUCUCUCUGUUUAUUCAUCGUUAGUUUUAUUCCGCUGCACUUCGAACAAUGAUGACCACUUUUGCAAAAACUCAGAUGC
RNAcentral lists this unclassified non-coding RNA (1346 nucleotides) under Zea mays. RNAcentral describes it as "misc RNA Zm00001eb348220". The record is from RNAcentral. Lineage: Eukaryota; Viridiplantae; Streptophyta; Magnoliopsida; Poales; Poaceae.